GGGGACCCGCACAAGCGGUGGAUGAUGUGGAUUAAUUCGAUGCAACGCGAAGAACCUUUACCUACCCUUGACAUGUCCGGAACUUGCCAGAGAUGGCUUGGUGCCCGAAAGGGAAUCGGAACACAGGUGCUGCAUGGCUGUCGUCAGCUCGUGUCGUGAGAUGUUCGGUUAAGUCCGCUAACGAGCGCAACCCUCGCUGUGUGUUAUAUGUGUCACACGGGACUGCCGGUCUUAAGCCGGAGGAAGGUGGGGAUGAUGUCAAGUCAGCAUGGCCUUUAUAUCCUGGGCUACACACACGCUACAAUGGCCAACACAAUAGGUUGCUAAGCCGCGAGGUGGCGCCAAUCCAUAAAGUUGGUCUCAGUUCAGAUUGUAGGCUGCAACCCGCCUGCAUGAAGAUGGAGUUGCUAGUAACCGCAGGUCAGCUAUACUGCGGUGAAUACGUUCCCGGGGCUU
RNAcentral lists this ribosomal RNA (456 nucleotides) under uncultured Alicycliphilus sp. RNAcentral describes it as "bacterial SSU rRNA". It matches the Rfam family "Bacterial small subunit ribosomal RNA", at positions 915 to 1382 of the family's 1533-position model. The record is from RNAcentral. Lineage: Bacteria; Pseudomonadati; Pseudomonadota; Betaproteobacteria; Burkholderiales; Comamonadaceae.